AAAAGCUCGUAGUUGGAUCUCAGCUCCGGCCGGACGGUCCGCCUACCGGUGGUUACUGUUCGCAGCCGAGCGUUCAGGCGGUUAUUCUUGAUGAUCUUCACCGGUUGUCUCGGGUGACCGCCAAGUUUACUUUGAAAAAAUUAGAGUGCUCAAAGCAGGCGUGACGCCUGAAUAAUUGUGCAUGGAAUAAUGGAAUAGGACCUCGGUUCUAUUUUGUUGGUUUUCGGAACACGAGGUAAUGAUUAAGAGGGACAGACGGGGGCAUUCGUAUUGCGACGCUAGAGGUGAAAUUCUUGGACCGUCGCAAGACGAACUACUGCGAAAGCAUUUGCCAAGAAUGUUUCCAUUAAUCAAGAACGACAGUUAGAGGUUCGAAGGCGAUCAGAUACCGCCCUAGUUCUAACCAUAAACGAUGCCAGCCAGCGAUCCGGCUGUGUUCCUCAAAUGACACGCCGGGCAGCUUCCGGGAAACCAAAGCUUUUGGGUUCCGGGGGAAGUAUGGUUGCAAAGCUGAAACUUAAAGGAAUAGACGGAAGGGCACCACCAGGAUUGGAGCCUGCGGCUUAAUUUGACUCAACACGGGGAAACUUACCCGGCCCGGACACAGGAAGGAUUGACAGAUUGAGAGCUCUUUCUUGAUUCUGUGGGUGGUGGUGCAUGGUCGUUCUUAGUUGGUGGGGCGACUUGUCUGGUUAAUUCCGAUAACGAACGAGACUCUAGCCUACUAAAUAGACGUUCCCAUCAUCUCUCGUGGGACGUUCUUCUUAGAGGGACAAGCGGCGUCUAGCCGCACGAGACAGAGCAAUAACAGGUCUGAGAUGCCCUUAGAUGUCCGGGGCCGCACGCGCGCUACAUUGAAGGACUCAGCGUGUGCUUUCCCUGUCCGAAAGGACUGGGUAACCCGUUGAACCUCCUUCGUGCUGGGGAUUGGCGAAUGUAAUUGACGCCAUGAACGAGGAAUUCCCAGUAAGCAUGAGUCAUCAGCUCGUGCUGAUUACGUCCCUGCCCUUUGUACUCACCGCCCGUCGCUACUACCGAUUGAGUGAUUUAGUGAGGUCUUCGGACUGGCGCUCGGAUUGGCCUUCGUGGUCGAGCCGGUGUGCCGGAAAGAUGACCAAACUUGAUUACUUAGAGGAAGUAAAAGUCGUAACAAGGUUUU
RNAcentral lists this ribosomal RNA (1159 nucleotides) under Paraplectana tsushimensis. Its description in RNAcentral is "SSU rRNA". It matches the Rfam family "Eukaryotic small subunit ribosomal RNA", at positions 622 to 1803 of the family's 1831-position model. The record is from RNAcentral. Lineage: Eukaryota; Metazoa; Arthropoda; Arachnida; Araneae; Araneidae.